Molecule: small nucleolar RNA, 129 nt
Gene: SNORA72
Rfam family: Small nucleolar RNA SNORA72
About the family: U72 is a member of the H/ACA class of snoRNAs. The snoRNA gene is located in intron 4 of the ribosomal L30 protein gene in human, mouse and chicken.
Source: Ensembl
CCACAAAUAUUCUUGUUCUGAUUUUGUAAUAAUCAGGGGAGGCUGAACAUUCGCUGUAUUAAGACCAUGCAUGUGUCCCGAGAUCUAGUUCUUACCCUAGGUCUGGUUUUAUCAAUGCUCAUGAUAAAC